AGCUCGUAGUUGGAGUUCAGAUUGAGCUCGGCCGGUCGGCCUAAUUGGUCAGAACUGGUUGACUCUGUCUUGUUUGUGGAUCCCUCCGGAGUUAACUCUUCGGAUGUGGAGUCCACAUCGUUUACCUUGAAAAAAUUAGAGUGUUCAAAGCAGGCGUUUGCUUGAAUAUAUUAGCAUGGAAUAAUGGAAUAGGACGCUGGUUCUAUUUUGUUGGUUUUGAGAACCAGAGUAAUGAUUAAUAGGGACAGUUGGGGGCAUUCAUAUUUCAUUGUCAGAGGUGAAAUUCUUGGAUUUAUGAAAGAUGAACUUCUGCGAAAGCAUUUGCCAAGGAUGUUUUCAUUAAUCAAGAACGAAAGUUAGGGGAUCAAAGACGAUCAGAUACCGUCGUAGUCUUAGCCAUAAACUAUGCCGACUAGGGAUUGGACGUGGUUUGUUCAUUGACCCGUUCAGCACCUUACGAGAAAUCAAAGUCUUUGGGUUCCGGGGGGAGUAUGGUCGCAAGGCUGAAACUUAAAGGAAUUGACGGAGGGGCACCACCAGGAGUGGAGCCUGCGGCUUAAUUUGACUCAACACGGGAAAACUUACCAGGUCCAGACAUAGUAAGGAUUGACAGAUUGAGAGCUCUUUCUUGAUUCUAUGGGUGGUGGUGCAU
This 652-nucleotide ribosomal RNA is filed under the name uncultured eukaryote. RNAcentral describes it as "SSU rRNA". It matches the Rfam family "Eukaryotic small subunit ribosomal RNA", at positions 625 to 1285 of the family's 1831-position model. The record is from RNAcentral.